This 1849-nucleotide long non-coding RNA is filed under the name Arachis ipaensis. RNAcentral describes it as "long non-coding RNA (AIPA_LNC001286)". Lineage: Eukaryota; Viridiplantae; Streptophyta; Magnoliopsida; Fabales; Fabaceae. The record is from RNAcentral.
CCACAACUUAGGAGGAUUCGUUACAUUCAUUUGCACAUAAAUCCAUAUAGUAUGUUGAAAUUAAUUAUAAAAAAAAUGGAAGUACAUAUUUUAAUACACUAUCUUCCACAUAUGCUUUGGAAGCUAGAUAGAAUAAACAAAAGGUACUCACACAAGAGUAUAUUUAUCUGAAAAUGAUAUUAAGCCUAUCUACAAUAUAUAAUAGUGUGAAAUAGUGACAUAUAUUCUAGCCAAAGAUUAGAUCACUCUACAGUCUACAUUUUCCUCUUCUGUGCCAUAUGUGAACUUCAAUAUGAUUGGUGAGACCAUGCAGCUGCUAGGAACAUUAUUGGAGGUUUAAUUUUUCCAUUUUUCUUUAAGUUAGUUGAUAAGAUCCACACACUCUCAUAUCACUUAAACUUUGUGGCUUGGUAGAAAAACCUCCCAAAAAAAAAAAGUAAUAACCUUCAACAUCGAGUGCCAAGAUUGAAAAAGGAAAGUUAUGUGUAUGGUCACAUGCAGUUUUAACAUUCAAUAAAAGAAAACAAAUUGAAAAAUAAUUAUUCAUGUAUUUUUAUAACCCUUUCUAUAUCCAUAGAUUGAACCAGUGGUUCACAUGUGACGGACCUCAUAAGCGAUGGACUACAAGGAUAAAACCCUAUCCUUCAAUCUUUCAAUUUGUGGUUCUCAACAUCAUAGUAGAGUUCUUUAAUUAGUUCACCUACAAUGGUUGAGCCAGUGGUUCACAUGUUCUUUUUUGUGACAAUUUUUUUUGGGUUUCAAACGGUAUCUUCUGACUCAAUAAACUAAGAGUUAAUUUUUCGUGAAUCAAAAUUUUAUUUAAAAAUUUGUCAUUGACCAAUAAAUUAUUUUACAUGUAUAAAAUAAAAUUCGAAUAUUAAACACUUAUUUAAGCCAAUUUGUAAAUUAAUCAUUCAAUUAAGUUAAGUUAGCCUUUUUUUUUUUUGUUAACAAAAGGGUUAGAGGCCUAAAACACAAAGAAAAACUAAAAACAGUUAACUCUUCUGAACUUUUUGGGUCAACAAUGACAUCCUUUUAUUUUUUUAGGUCUGAUGAAACUUUACCAUUCUAGUGGGCUUACAUAUCAAAUACCUCCACACAAACAAGACCCAUAUCCGCAGCUCACGGCCCAUUUUUCCAAGUUACAAACAGUGGAAAGAAUCUUUAAUCAGUGUGUGUAAAUUUGUGAUGUGUAUAAUUGGGAGUUGUCCAAUUUAUCUUAUCAAAUAAAUAAAGAAAUAAAAUAUAGUUGUAAUGGAGAAAUUUUCUUUAUAAUCAAGAUGUGAGCAUACAGUUCCCAAUAACAGACUCAUUACCUAAAGAAAAACAGGUGCUCAAAACGGGGUUAUAUAGUGAUGCCUGUGAAUUUGCCUAUAAAUAACCAUGAGAAAGUUCAUAAAGAAAAAAAUUCUAGAGAGAUUGAAAGAACUAAAGAAGAACAUAUACAUACUUACCCCAAAUUCUUGGAGAGAAGCCUAUAUAUAAUUUUUCAAACCCAAUAGUUGGCUUUAAUUUGUGGUAAUCAUAACUUAUGAUAUUUGUGAUAAAAAGACCAAAUAUACAUUCUCAACAUCAAUGUUAUUUAUACCGUUCAUUUUCUACAUUUUUACUCUACACCUCACUUUUAUGACAAAAUAAUAGAAAAAUUUAUAUUUUUUCCUUUAUCAUACAUAAAAGGAAGGUGCAGAGAAUGAGUAUAGAAAAUGAAAUGUAGAAAUAACAUUAUUGAUUCUCCUCCAAAUUUUUCAACAAAUUCCUUUGUGAGAAACUAAGGGAAACGGCAGUAAUAGUAAUGCAGUAGCUGCUAGGAACUUGGAAGCAAAAUCCAAAGAAGAGAGAAUAAAAUUUA